UUGAAACUAUCAUAACAAAUGCAAUACAUAUCACAAUGAAACUGUCAUAACAAAUAUAACACAUAUAUCAAUGAUUCAGAUAUGUUGUUCAUCAAUAUAUCACGUUUAGGAUAAAAGUUAAAAGAAACAUUACACCAAGUCUUUAUUGGAACAUUCAUCAACCACUCCCCGUACCCUUGUAUCAAUAUUCUUCAGCUCAAACAUGUUUUCCUGUCAUGUUUGUUAAUAUGUGGCUUUGGUACCUCCAAUCAUUAAACCUAACCUUCCUUGCAUUAUCA
This 278-nucleotide long non-coding RNA is filed under the name Lathyrus oleraceus (garden pea). RNAcentral describes it as "Pisum sativum (pea) long non-coding RNA (PSAT_LNC023692)". The record is from RNAcentral. Lineage: Eukaryota; Viridiplantae; Streptophyta; Magnoliopsida; Fabales; Fabaceae.